This 504-nucleotide ribosomal RNA is filed under the name uncultured bacterium. RNAcentral's name for it is "SSU rRNA". It matches the Rfam family "Bacterial small subunit ribosomal RNA", at positions 26 to 523 of the family's 1533-position model. The record is from RNAcentral.
AGGAUGAACGCUAGCGGCAGGCUUAAUACAUGCAAGUCGUGGGGCAGCAUGGUGUAGCAAUACACUGAUGGCGACCGGCAAACGGGUGCGGAACACGUACGCAACCUUCCUUUAACUGGAGAAUAGCCCGGGGAAACCCGGAUUAAUACUCCGUAACAUUAUGAAGUGGCAUCACUUUAUAAUUAUAGCUCCGGCGGUUGAAGAUGGGCGUGCGUCUGAUUAGGUAGUUGGCGGGGUAACGGCCCACCAAGCCUACGAUCAGUAACUGGUGUGAGAGCACGACCAGUCACACGGGCACUGAGACACGGGCCCGACUCCUACGGGAGGCAGCAGUAAGGAAUAUUGGUCAAUGGACGCAAGUCUGAACCAGCCAUGCCGCGUGGAGGAUGAAGGUCCUCUGGAUUGUAAACUUCUUUUAUUUGGGAAGAAACCCCCGAUUUCUAUUGGGGUUGACGGUACCAGAUGAAUAAGCACCGGCUAACUCCGUGCCAGCAGCCGCGGUAA